RNAcentral lists this ribosomal RNA (298 nucleotides) under uncultured Staphylococcus sp. Its description in RNAcentral is "partial 16S ribosomal RNA". It matches the Rfam family "Bacterial small subunit ribosomal RNA", at positions 505 to 802 of the family's 1533-position model. Lineage: Bacteria; Bacillati; Bacillota; Bacilli; Caryophanales; Staphylococcaceae. The record is from RNAcentral.
GUGCCAGCAGCCGCGGUAAUACGUAGGCGGCAAGCGUUAUCCGGAAUUAUUGGGCGUAAAGCGCGCGUAGGCGGUUUUUUAAGUCUGAUGUGAAAGCCCACGGCUCAACCGUGGAGGGUCAUUGGAAACUGGAAAACUUGAGUGCAGAAGAGGAAAGUGGAAUUCCAUGUGUAGCGGUGAAAUGCGCAGAGAUAUGGAGGAACACCAGUGGCGAAGGCGACUUUCUGGUCUGUAACUGACGCUGAUGUGCGAAAGCGUGGGGAUCAAACAGGAUUAGAUACCCUGGUAGUCAAGGGCG